AACAUGCAAGUCGAGCGCACCUUCGGGUGAGCGGCGGACGGGUUAGUAACGCGUGGGAACGUACCCAGAUCUAAGGAAUAGCCACUGGAAACGGUGAGUAAUACCUUAUACGCCCUUCGGGGGAAAGAUUUAUCGGAUUUGGAUCGGCCCGCGUUAGAUUAGGUAGUUGGUGGGGUAAUGGCCUACCAAGCCUACGAUCUAUAGCUGGUUUUAGAGGAUGAUCAGCAACACUGGGACUGAGACACGGCCCAGACUCCUACGGGAGGCAGCAGUGGGGAAUCUUAGACAAUGGGGGCAACCCUGAUCUAGCCAUGCCGCGUGAGUGAAGAAGGUCUUAGGAUCGUAAAGCUCUUUCGCCAGGGAUGAUAAUGACAGUACCUGGUAAAGAAACCCCGGCUAACUCCGUGCCAGCAGCCGCGGUAAUACGGAGGGGGUUAGCGUUGUUCGGAAUUACUGGGCGUAAAGCGCGCGUAGGCGGAUCAGAAAGUUGGGGGUGAAAUCCCAGGGCUCAACCCUGGAACUGCCUCCAAAACUCCUGGUCUUGAGUUCGAGAGAGGUGAGUGGAACUCCGAGUGUAGAGGUGAAAUUCGUAGAUAUUCGGAAGAACACCAGUGGCGAAGGCGGCUCACUGGCUCGAUACUGACGCUGAGGUGCGAAAGUGUGGGGAGCAAACAGGAUUAGAUACCCUGGUAGUCCACACCGUAAACGAUGAAUGCCAGUCGUCGGGUAGUAUACUAUUCGGUGACACACCUAACGGAUUAAGCAUUCCGCCUGGGGAGUACGGUCGCAAGAUUAAAACU
Molecule: ribosomal RNA, 800 nt
Filed under: Roseovarius sp.
Lineage: Bacteria; Pseudomonadati; Pseudomonadota; Alphaproteobacteria; Rhodobacterales; Roseobacteraceae
Description: bacterial SSU rRNA
Rfam family: Bacterial small subunit ribosomal RNA
Source: RNAcentral